AUUGAACGCUGGCGGCAGGCCUAACACAUGCAAGUCGAACGGUAACAGGAAGCAGCUUGCUGCUUCGCUGACAAGUGGCGGACGGGUGAGUAAUGUCUGGGAAGCUGCCUGAUGGAGGGGAUAACUACUGGAAACGGUAGCUAAUACCGCAUAAUGUCGCAAGACCAAAGAGGGGACCUUCGGGCCUCUUGCCAUCGGAUGUGCCCAGAUGGGAUUAGCCUUGUUGGUGGUAACGGCUCACCAAGGCGACGAUCCCUAGCUGGUAUGAGAGGAUGACCAGCCACACUGGAACUGAGACACGGUCCAGACUCCUACGGGAGCAGCAGUCGGGAAUAUUGCACAAU
RNAcentral lists this ribosomal RNA (344 nucleotides) under uncultured bacterium. RNAcentral describes it as "bacterial SSU rRNA". It matches the Rfam family "Bacterial small subunit ribosomal RNA", at positions 30 to 372 of the family's 1533-position model. The record is from RNAcentral.